CAGGAAGUCUGAAGUGUAGACUUAAUGCAAUGUCAAACAAAUAUUUUCUUCUUUAUUCUCUGUUCUUUUCCUAAAACAUUGUGUGUGCCUUUUUGACAACUGGUGAACAUUGAUCUGUUUUGAGAAAACUGUCUGUGGUGCUCAUAGCCCUCUUUACUAAGUGGGUAAGAGUCCAUUGUUACACGUGUAGUUGGCAGCUGCAGCCAAAGCAGUGAAAAAAGCAUUGAGGGGUGGUAUUGUGAAGUGUGGCUUUGGGAGAAACAUCCCUCCAUUAUCUCUGUGCCAAGUUACUUCCCUGAAUUUUGACAGAAGCAGAUAGUAUGGAGAAAGUAUAUUUGGGAUUGUCUGGUUUUGUGGCUGCUGCUGUUGGCUGAAGCAGUGGCAAAAAUGUUUGUUCAAAGAGAGAGAGUUUGCUGCAAGGGAAAAGGACUGCACUUCAUGCCACUGGCAUGUCCAUUGUACUUGGAAUGCUCCUGCACUAGACAGACUGAACAGAGCUGGACCCAACUUUAGUUCCCUGACCAUUCUUCUCCCGCUCUCUGGAUAGGUGACUCUUCUGGCUAGCUUUUGUUCUUCCACUGAUCUCCAAAUCUCUGUUGAGUACCCAUACCGUCAGCAUCUUGGCUCUGAGUGCCCCUGUGGAUUAUUAGAGCCACAAGCUUAGGAGUGGAAUGGUUUGGUGACCAUACAUCAUUGCAAGAGCCAGAAUGAAGCAUCUCGAGGCCUCCAGAGGGAGAUCCUGUCCACUUGAAUAAGAUCCCGGAGCCGACUAAGGCACGUCUGCUUGGGAAGAUACCAUAUUCCGUGGGAAGCAGGGACCACGCUGCUAAACAGCGAGGAGAGGCUCAUGCUUCCCUAAUAUCCAUCACUCCCUGCUUCCAGCGUGGUCGCAGACAGAGCAACAAAGAGGGUCUCAGAGCUGGACAUUUUGGAAUUUAUCUGCUUAAUUGGAUGUUCGUGUGUUUUCAUCUCAACAUUAGGUAACUAAAAUAGCUGUAGUGAAUUGAUUUGAUAUGUGAGGGAGGAAAUUGGAACCACCUCUCUGGUGCACUGGUAACUUGGAGGUGGUAGAACUAGGUUUGAUUUGCUUUUUUGUCAGUGUAAAUUUAGUGUUACAAGUGAACAUCAGAUCAACAUCAGAGUCUGUACUGGACUACAUUGCCUCAUUUCUCUUAUAAAUGAGAGAAAAGCCAUAUCACAGCAAUGGGAUUUCUCUUGCAACCGUUUUUAUAAUGAUCUUAAUUGCUAUUUCAGGGCUUAUUCCAUUUAUAUUAUUAUAUUCAGAAUAUAAAUAACAGUCUGACAUUACUCACCAUGUCUGGUGUGGUAGUUGUCACCUCUAGCUUUGACAUUUAGCUAAGUUGAUAACCCAAUCUUUUUUAUUAAAAGAGAAAAAGCAAAAUAACUUGCUUUCCUGUCAGCCCACUCCCCUGCUUAUACACCUAGUUUGGCUUUGUUUGAUGUUUCAUUGUUUUUGGUUUUUUUUUUAUUCUAUCAUUUGAUUUGCUGACUUCAGGAACAACUAUUAUAUUUUUGAAAUCUCUUGUUCUGUUGUUCUGUUAAACAGCUGAAUGUACAGAUGUUUAAGAAAAUACUGAAUUAAUUGAG
Molecule: long non-coding RNA, 1608 nt
Filed under: Cyanistes caeruleus (blue tit)
Lineage: Eukaryota; Metazoa; Chordata; Aves; Passeriformes; Paridae
Description: lncRNA (ENSCCEG00000009294.1)
Source: RNAcentral